CCGGUCGGGGAUGGGCCCGCGGCCUAUCAGCUUGUUGGUGGGGUAACGGCCCACCAAGGCGACGACGGGUAGCCGGCCUGAGAGGGUGAACGGCCACACUGGGACUGAGACACGGCCCAG
RNAcentral lists this ribosomal RNA (120 nucleotides) under uncultured bacterium. RNAcentral's name for it is "partial 16S ribosomal RNA". It matches the Rfam family "Bacterial small subunit ribosomal RNA", at positions 215 to 334 of the family's 1533-position model. The record is from RNAcentral.